Camelus dromedarius (Arabian camel) is the source of this 107-nucleotide small nuclear RNA. NCBI's taxonomy places the organism in Eukaryota, Metazoa, Chordata, Mammalia, Artiodactyla, Camelidae. The record is from Ensembl.
GUGCUCUCUUUGGCAGCACAUGUACUAAAAUUGGAAUGAUACAGAGAAGAUUAGCACAGCCCCUGUGCAAAGAUGACAUGCAAAUUCGUGAAGCAUUCCAUAUUUUU